UUUCGCGUUUAUACGUCAACGGAAAUGACGUGUUUUCACGCCGUAAAUGGCAUUUAUCACGAGGGCUAUUUUACAACUAUAAAACUAUACACCUUUUAUACCAUCGACUCGGCUUGGCUUGGUCUUUUUGAUGGGGGCAUGACUGGGGGUACGACUAGACCGUAAAAGAAAUAUAACAUGCAAAACUGCAGCGGCCUUGGCUACGGGUACCUGCCC
Molecule: non-coding RNA, 216 nt
Organism: Cinara cedri
Lineage: Eukaryota; Metazoa; Arthropoda; Insecta; Hemiptera; Aphididae
Source: the annotation of a GenBank genome assembly